RNAcentral lists this ribosomal RNA (465 nucleotides) under Vreelandella stevensii. RNAcentral's name for it is "partial 16S ribosomal RNA". It matches the Rfam family "Bacterial small subunit ribosomal RNA", at positions 338 to 795 of the family's 1533-position model. Lineage: Bacteria; Pseudomonadati; Pseudomonadota; Gammaproteobacteria; Oceanospirillales; Halomonadaceae. The record is from RNAcentral.
CCUACGGGUGGCAGCAGUGGGGUAUAUUGGACAAUGGGCGAAAGCCUGAUCCAGCCAUGCCGCGUGUGUGAAGAAGGCCUUCGGGUUGUAAAGCACUUUCAGUGGGGAAGAAAGCCUUGGGGCUAAUACCCUCGAGGAAGGACAUCACCCACAGAAGAAGCACCGGCUAACUCCGUGCCAGCAGCCGCGGUAAUACGGAGGGUGCGAGCGUUAAUCGGAAUUACUGGGCGUAAAGCGCGCGUAGGCGGUCUGAUAAGCCGGUUGUGAAAGCCCCGGGCUCAACCUGGGAACGGCAUCCGGAACUGUCAGGCUAGAGUGCAGGAGAGGAAGGUAGAAUUCCCGGUGUAGCGGUGAAAUGCGUAGAGAUCGGGAGGAAUACCAGUGGCGAAGGCGGCCUUCUGGACUGACACUGACGCUGAGGUGCGAAAGCGUGGGUAGCAAACAGGAUUAGAUACCCGAGUAGUC